Molecule: ribosomal RNA, 762 nt
Filed under: uncultured Alphaproteobacteria bacterium
Lineage: Bacteria; Pseudomonadati; Pseudomonadota; Alphaproteobacteria
Description: bacterial SSU rRNA
Rfam family: Bacterial small subunit ribosomal RNA
Source: RNAcentral
AGUCGAACGGAUAUAGCACUAUAUUAGUGGCAAACGGGUGAGGAAUCGUUGAGGAAUCUCCCCCGCAGUAAGGAAUAACUUUGGGAAACUAAAGCUAAUGCCCUAUAUCACCGAUUUAUCGGGAAAGAUUUAUCGCUGUUGGAUGAGCCUCUAUCGGAUUAGCUAGUUGGUGGGGUAAUGGCCUACCAAGGCAAUGAUCCGUAGCUGGUCUUAGAGGAUGAUCAGCCCCCCUGGAACUGAGACACGGCCCAGACUCCUACGGGAGGCAGCAGUGGGGAAUAUUGGACAAUGGGCGCAAGCCUGAUCCAGCAAUACCGCGUGAGUGAUGACGGUCUUCCGAUUGUAAAGCUCUUUUAGUGAGGAAGAUAAUGACGGUACUCCCAGAAAAAGCACCGGCAAACUUCGUGCCAGCAGCCGCGGUAAUACGAAGGGUGCUAGCGUUGUUCGGAAUUAUUGGGCGUAAAGCGUACGUAGGCGGUUUGGUAAGUCAAUUGUGAAAGCCCUAAGCUCAACUUAGGAACUGCAAUCGAAACUGCCUUACUUGAGUUUGGUCGGGGAUGGUGGAAUUUCUAGUGUAGGGGUGAAAUCCGUAGAUAUUAGAAGGAAUAUCGGUGGCGAAGGCGACCAUCUAGGCCAAUACUGACGCUGAGGUACGAAAGCGUGGGGAGCAAACAGGAUUAGAUACCCUGGUAGUCCACGCAGUAAACGAUGAGUGCUAGUUGUCGGGACUUUGGGUCUCGGUGGCGAAGUUAACACGAUAAG